This 249-nucleotide unclassified non-coding RNA is filed under the name Penicillium pimiteouiense. RNAcentral describes it as "partial internal transcribed spacer region". The stretch from base 1 to 46 matches the Rfam family "Eukaryotic small subunit ribosomal RNA", at positions 1786 to 1831 of the family's 1831-position model. Lineage: Eukaryota; Fungi; Ascomycota; Eurotiomycetes; Eurotiales; Aspergillaceae. The record is from RNAcentral.
AAGUCGUAACAAGGUUUCCGUAGGUGAACCUGCGGAAGGAUCAUUACCGAGUGAGGGCCCUCUGGGUCCAACCUCCCACCCGUGUUUAUCGUACCUUGUUGCUUCGGCGGGCCCGCCGCAAGGCCGCCGGGGGGCUUCCGUCCCCGGGUCCGUGCCCGCCGAAGACACCUGUGAACGCUGUAUGAAGAUUGCAGUCUGAGCGAAAAGCUAAAUUUAUUAAAACUUUCAACAACGGAUCUCUUGGUUCCG